GAGCAAUACUACGUGAAGAGAAGUCUACGGAUGUAAACUUCUGUUAGUGCGAAGAAGGGCUAAGCACAAGUUUAGCCUUGACGGUACGCACAGAGAAAGCCACGACUAACUACGUGCCAGCAGUCGCGGUAAGACGUAGGUGGCGAACGUUAUCCGGGAAUUAUUGGGCGUAAAGGGUGCGUAGAUGGUAUGAUAAGUUAUUGGUGGUAAAUCGGGGCUCAACCUCGUGGAAGCUCGUAAUACUGUUAUACUUGAGUACAGGAGAGGUUAAUGGAAUUCCCUGUGGAGCGGUAAAAUGCGUUAGAUAUAGGGAGGAACACCAAUAACGGCGAAGGCAAUUAACUAUCCUGCUACUGACAUUGAGGCACGAAAGCGUGGGGAGCAAAAAGGAUUAGAUACCCUUGUAGUCCACGCCCUAAACGAUGAGUGCUAGAUAUUGGACAUUUUAUGUUCAGUGUCGCUAGUUAACACGGUAAGCACUCCGCCUGGGUAGUACGGUCGCAAGGCUGAAACUCAAAGGAAUUGACGGGGACUCGCACAAGCAGUGGAGCAUGUGGUUUAAUCCGAUACAACGCGUAGAACCUUACCAAGGCUUGACAUGUUCGGCAAAAUUAGGGAAACCUAAUGGAGGUUAUCCGGACACAGGUGCUGCAUGGCCGUCGUCAGUUCGUGCCGUGAGGUGUAUGGUUAAGUCCUAUAACGAACGUAACCCUUAGGUUUAGUUGCCAGCAUUCAGUUGGGGACUCUAGACCGACUGCCCGAGUAAUCGGGAGGAAGGAAAGGAUGACGUCUGGUCGUCAUGGCCCUUAUGCCUUGGGCGACACACGUGCUACAAUGGUUAAUACAAAGGGACGCCAACCCGCGAGGGGGAGCAAAUCUCAAAAAAUUAGCCUCAGUUCGGAUUGGAGGCUGCAACUCGCCUCCAUGAAGUUGGAAUUGCUAGUAAUCGCAAAUCAGCCAUGUCGCGGUGAAUACGUUCCCG
Molecule: ribosomal RNA, 982 nt
Filed under: uncultured bacterium
Lineage: Bacteria
Description: bacterial SSU rRNA
Rfam family: Bacterial small subunit ribosomal RNA
Source: RNAcentral